UGAGGAAUAUUGGGCAAUGCCCGCAAGGGUGACCCAGCAACGCCGCGUGGAGGAUGAAUGUCGUAAGAUUGUAAACUCCCGUUAGAGGGGAAGAAUAGUACCGGUUGGACCGGUAUAUGACUGUACCCUCAGAGAAAGCCUCGGCUAACUACGUGCCAGCAGCCGCGGUAAAACGUAGGAGGCGAGCGUUAUCCGGAUUUACUGGGCGUAAAGCGCGUGCAGGCGGAUUGGAGAGUUGGAUGUGAAAGCUCCCGGCUUAACUGGGAGAGGUCGUUCAAGACGUCCAGUCUUGAGUGCAGUAGAGGGAAGUGGAAUUCCGGGUGUAGUGGUGAAAUGCGUAGAUAUCCGGAGGAACACCAGUGGCGAAAGCGGCUUCCUGGACUGUAACUGACGCUCAGACGCGAAAGCUAG
Molecule: ribosomal RNA, 411 nt
Filed under: uncultured bacterium
Lineage: Bacteria
Description: bacterial SSU rRNA
Rfam family: Bacterial small subunit ribosomal RNA
Source: RNAcentral